This 605-nucleotide long non-coding RNA is filed under the name Capsicum annuum. Its description in RNAcentral is "long non-coding RNA (CANN_LNC014757)". Lineage: Eukaryota; Viridiplantae; Streptophyta; Magnoliopsida; Solanales; Solanaceae. The record is from RNAcentral.
UUCCGCAGAAACUAGACUUGGAAGGAUACAACAUACCUAAAAAUCUAGUAAAAAAUUCUUCUGGAUUAACAAAAAAUGAUUUUUGAAGUUGGCUAAAACUGGCAGGCCGUAACUUUGGACAUCAUUCAUGAGUGCGCUUCUCUUUUUGUAUCUUUCUCCAAACAGGAUUUCUCCCCUUUUUUUUUGGGUCUGGUUGAGGGUGUAGAUAGUAUCGAUUCAAACCGAGAAGAUGCAAGGAAUCGCCAUAUAACUGACAAGAUACUAACUGGCGGGUUACCUCUUGCUGCUAAGCGGGAAGAAAUAGUUGGAGUACUCUUUCGACAUCCUUGAGCAUCGUUUCAUUGCAUCCUCUGCUGGAGCUUUGGCGAGAGAAGAAUGCAGGACACCCUCUUCUUGAAACUUGGUGAGAAGGCUCAUGGGGUAUCCAAUCCUCUAAACUUUGAUGUGGAACAAUUAUUGCUUCAAACUUGGAUAGGGAUUACAUUUACUGUCCUUUUCUCUUUUUGACGGCUGGAUAUGGCGUGUUUCAUCCUUAGACCUUCGGUAAAAAUAUUGUUGUUGGAUCGAGUACAUAAUCUGUAUGUUUAUACACUAUACUUCAACAC